RNAcentral lists this ribosomal RNA (228 nucleotides) under uncultured bacterium. Its description in RNAcentral is "partial 16S ribosomal RNA". It matches the Rfam family "Bacterial small subunit ribosomal RNA", at positions 568 to 795 of the family's 1533-position model. The record is from RNAcentral.
UCCGUAGGCGGGCAAUUAAGUCAGAGGUGAAAUCCCACAGCUCAACUGUGGAACUGCCUUUGAUACUGAUUGUCUUGAGUUAUAGUGAAGUAGAUAAAAUGUGUAGUGUAGCGGUGAAAUGCAUAGAUAUUACACAGAAUACCGAUUGCGAAGGCAGUCUACUAACUGUAUACUGACGCUAAUGGACGAAAGCGUGGGGAGCGAACAGGAUUAGAUACCCUGGUAGUC